Molecule: ribosomal RNA, 301 nt
Filed under: uncultured bacterium
Lineage: Bacteria
Description: partial 16S ribosomal RNA
Rfam family: Bacterial small subunit ribosomal RNA
Source: RNAcentral
CAGUAGCCGCGGUAAUACUGAGGGUGCGAGCGUUAAUCGGAUUUACUGGGCGUAAAGCGUGCGUAGGCGGCUUUUUAAGUCGGAUGUGAAAUCCCUGAGCUUAACUUAGGAAUUGCAUUCGAUACUGGGAAGCUAGAGUAUGGGAGAGGAUGGUAGAAUUCCAGGUGUAGCGGUGAAAUGCGUAGAGAUCUGGAGGAAUACCGAUGGCGAAGGCAGCCAUCUGGCCUAAUACUGACGCUGAGGUACGAAAGCAUGGGGAGCAAACAGGAUUAGAUACCCCCGUAGUCCCUGUCUCUUAUAC